GACAGAGGUGGCGAGCGUUGUUCGGAUUUACUGGGCGUAAAGGGCGCGUAGGCGGUCGUGACAAGUCACUUGUGAAAUCUCCGGGCUUAACUCGGAACGGUCAAGUGAUACUGUCGGACUAGAGUACAGAAGGGGCAACUGGAAUUCUCGGUGUAGCGGUGAAAUGCGUAGAUAUCGAGAGGAACACCUGCGGCGAAGGCGGGUUGCUGGGCUGAUACUGACGCUGAGGCGCGAAAGCCAGGGGAGCGAACGGG
RNAcentral lists this ribosomal RNA (254 nucleotides) under uncultured bacterium. RNAcentral's name for it is "partial 16S ribosomal RNA". It matches the Rfam family "Bacterial small subunit ribosomal RNA", at positions 524 to 776 of the family's 1533-position model. The record is from RNAcentral.